Molecule: ribosomal RNA, 526 nt
Filed under: uncultured microorganism
Description: bacterial SSU rRNA
Rfam family: Bacterial small subunit ribosomal RNA
Source: RNAcentral
GAGUUUGAUCCUGGCUCAGGAUGAACGCUAGCUACAGGCCUAACACAUGCAAGUCGAGGGGAAACGGGAAAGCAGCUUGCUGCUUUCUGUCGUCGACCGGCGCACGGGUGAGUAACGCGUAUCCAACCUUCCCAUAACUAAGGGAUACCCCGUAGGAAUGCGGCCUAAUACCUUAUGUACCCCCAUGACGGCAUCAGAAUGGGAGCAAAGAAUUUCGGUUAUGGAUGGGGAUGCGUCUGAUUAGCUUGCUGGCGGGGUAACGGCCCACCAGGGCAUCGAUCAGUAGGGGUUCUGAGAGGAAGGUCCCCCACAUUGGAACUGAGACACGGUCCAAACUCCUACGGGAGGCAGCAGUGAGGAAUAUUGGUCAAUGGGCGUAAGCCUGAACCAGCCAAGUAGCGUGCAGGAUGACGGCCCUAUGGGUUGUAAACUGCUUCUACAGGGGAAUAAAGUGAUUCACGUGUGUUUCAUUGCAUGUACCCUGCGAAUAAGGACCGGCUAAUUCCGUGCCAGCCGCCGCGGUAAC